CACUUAUCCAAUUGACUAUAUCUAGGAGGGGAUUGAUAUACGCAAAACUUGAAAGCCACGUUAACACCUGCUGACAAAGUUUUCCACACGCUUACAUUUUUAAUGGAACCGAGUAGGCAGGGGAAGACUGGGAGGGCAGAGAGUGAAGAGACUUGGAAUAAUAUGAGAACCGGCAAGACUAUCUUUGAUUUAGAUUUUGUAUGGAGUCCUGCGAAGAGUCAUUUCACUAAGACGUUAAUGCUCAUCCGAUGACACUACUUGAAAAGUGUAUUAAGUUUAUUGAUGUUUUAUAGCUGAUGGAAGUCACAAUAUGCUCUCCUCAUGACUCAUUAGUUGCCUUUAUAGUUGUCAGAACUUUACUGAGGCUCUUUCCGCAGCACUGGAGUGACCCCUCUGUCCUCUGCCUGCAGUAAUUAACAAUUCGUCUUUCAAGUUUUCCUAUGGAGUCUAAGCUGCUGCAAUCCUCAAACCAGAUUUACUAGUGCUGUCUUCACUACUGCAGACUUCUGACUUCUCAUUUUUCACCCUUUUCUUUUUCACCAGAACUUGUUUGCUUCAUUCUUAUGUACCUACCUUUGCACCUUGUAAUCAUCCUUUAUGCCUCAGAUUGUUAUUUUGUGUCAGUAAGUAAUCCAUAAAGUGCCAACAUGGGAAAGAAACGGACAAAGGGAAAAACUGUUCCAAUCGAUGAUUCCUCUGAAACUUUAGAACCUGUGUGCAGACACAUUAGAAAAGGAUUGGAACAAGGUAAUUUGAAAAAGGCUUUAGUGAAUGUGGAAUGGAAUAUCUGCCAAGACUGUAAGACUGACAAUAAAGUGAAAGAUAAAGCUGAAG
RNAcentral lists this long non-coding RNA (834 nucleotides) under Homo sapiens (human). Its description in RNAcentral is "HSALNT0272480". The record is from RNAcentral. Lineage: Eukaryota; Metazoa; Chordata; Mammalia; Primates; Hominidae.